UACGUAGGUCCCGAGCGUUGUCCGGAUUUAUUGGGCGUAAAGCGAGCGCAGGUGGUUUAUUAAGUCUGGUGUAAAAGGCAGUGGCUCAACCAUUGUAUGCAUUGGAAACUGGUAGACUUGAGUGCAGGAGAGGAGAGUGGAAUUCCAUGUGUAGCGGUGAAAUGCGUAGAUAUAUGGAGGAACACCGGUGGCGAAAGCGACUUUCUGGACUGUAACUGACGCUGAGGCACGAAAGUGUGGGGAGCAAACAGG
Molecule: ribosomal RNA, 252 nt
Filed under: uncultured bacterium
Lineage: Bacteria
Description: partial 16S ribosomal RNA
Rfam family: Bacterial small subunit ribosomal RNA
Source: RNAcentral